GAAUAUCCGUCAAUCAAGCAAACUCACAAAGGUGUUGUUCGACCGCCUUUGACAGGUACUAGGAUGUCACCAACAAGGGCACCACGGCCACCAACCACGGUGGACCGUCUCAUCUGUCCCGUGUGUACUUUUUAGGGUUUAACGUGAUGAAAUGCGGCUCGUUGUUACCUUCGACAGCUUCAUCCGACGGGAACAGGCUGGACCUCCUACAUGUAGCCUAGCAGCCUGUUAGCCGUCCACCGAGAGAGGAAGGCAUUGUUUGAGUUGUGGGCUAACAUGGCAACCAAAGCUAAUGUUAGCAGAGUCGGCUAGACGAGCUUCACGACCGAGUUACUGCAGAAGAGACUGCUGAUGUGGUGAUCCUGCAUAAUGUGUGACGGUCGUGAAGCCAGUCUCCCUCGUUCCCUCAUUCCCUCAUCGUGGGCUGGCCCUCCGGUUUAACCAUCUUCCUGAAGUCUCUCUCCUGAGCUGCAAACAUGACGGACAGGAAGGAGCCACCCUUUUACAAUGACGACAGCAUGGGGGCGUUUCAAUAUAAGCUCCCUUUCUAUGACACUAUGGAGCUCUUCAUAGAGACCCUGACAGGGACCUGUUUUGAGCUGCGCGUGCUGCCCUAUGAGGCUGUUAUUUCAGUCAAGGCGAAGAUCCAGAGGCUAGAAGGUAUCCCUGUUGCCCAGCAACAUCUCAUCUGGAACAAUCUGGAGCUGGAGGAUGAACAUUGUCUACAUGACUAUGGCAUUGCAGAGGGCUGCACUUUGAAACUCAUCUUAUCCAUGAGGGCUGGCCCAAUUAACACCAGGAGAGUAACACUCGAGGAUCCCGUCAAAGAGGUGGCUGACCUGAUGGAGAGCACAAAGGAGCAGGGCUGGGAGAAAACCUCGUCCAACAAACAGGUCACGUUUGUGGUCUACCGUGAGGGUGACCAGCUGAAUUUCUUCAGAGUGGUCAACAGAGGAGACGGGACUCUGACCCCUCUGUCUGAAUCUCUCAGUGGCGGCGGUUCGGUGUACAAUGUGUGUGCAGAGGAGGAGGAGGAUGAGGAGGAGGAGGAAGGAGCGACUUCAGCAGCUGCUCAGCACAGCCAUGAGAACUCCAUCACCAUGAGUAAAAUGAAGCUACUCAAGGCUAAGAUGGAGGACAUGAACCUCAGCAAGAAGCCCAAAAAGCCCAUUAAGAUGAAACCACGGCCCCCUGUCAGCCCUCACCCCUGCGGUGGCUCUCUUGGACCACCUAUCACACGACACCACCAUCGCCCCUUCCGUUCACUUGCUCAGAUCAACCAGUCUCAGCAGUCUAAUGCAAAACUACCUCCAAUCCCUGACCAUAAAUCCAUAGACCCCUUCCCCUCCUCCUCUUCUGCUGCUUCGACUUCUGCGCACUUGUCAAUCCCCAGAAGACCUCCACCCUCUUUCUCCUCGCCUUCUUGUUACAUGCUUCAGGAGGAGGAACCAUGGGAGACAUGUCCCCAGUUUGCAAGAAUCCGACCCCCUCCCAAAGUUACACAGUGUGACAUCGGCAGCACCCGGCUAAUGAGAGACUGUGUGUACCCUCAGCUCCCUCCACUGUAUAUCAGGGGACACCCCGAGGCCACCUUCGACCCCUCUGAGCCAGCAGUGGAGACAGUGGGACUUGGUUUGCUGGAGGAAGCUGCUGGGCUGGUGAUGCCAUCACAACCUGGAGCUCAGUUUGGGGAACUUUCAGACCCACUGAGUUUGGAUGUGUCCACACAGCCAGAGGGAGGCUACCAGUCCCUCACAGUUGGAGCCCAGCACCAGCUGCCGCUCCCCCCUUCCCCCGUGAGUACCUGGAUGCUUGGGACAAAUGAAACUCUCACUAGCAGAGCUGAAAGGACUCAGCUUGGCACGUCAUUUCACAUCAGCCCCCCCUCUCCCUUGCCCACCUCCCCAUCCUCCUCCACCAGGCCUCUGCCUCAACCUUUUGAUUCCACUCUGUCCUGUUUACAGCCCAACCUUCAAGCACAAGUUAGACCAGGGAACAUGUCCCCUAUCCCUUCCACCAGUUCAUUGGUUUAUCCUCCACGCCUUCAUGGUGUUAAAGUGGAGUCACCUGGCAAGAGGCCAGAGCUUAUCUCCAAAAGGGAAGCGAGGGGCAUCACUCAGAUGGUGAACCAAGCCUGUAAGGAGCCACUGGGGUCUGUGAACAACACCGAGCUCUUGGCUUCUCUCUCCACAAGGCCUUCAGACAGCAGCCACAGCAGGGAUGCUUUUGGAGAGAGUCUGGGACUCGCACUGACUUUCCCUCCUGCUACAGCCUCAGGACAGGGCGGCCUCAGCUCCAGACUGCAACCCAUCCAAACCAACAGGCUCCUUCAGGAUGAUAUCCUCAGACAAAUGUCACCUUCGCGCCGAGCAGCAGCCUCUUUCAUGACUGAGAUGUGACUGGUGAAGUAACCACCACUCUGCUCUCCUCAACAAGAAGAUGCUGCCACAAACACUCUUGCAUCAGCUGGGGGAGCCAUGACUUCAUUCGGGAGAAUAGGCACUCCAACAUACCACCUACCUCCAAUCAAGGCUCCCACAGGCAACAAGAAGAAGAGCUCAAAGCACUGCUUCCUCUGUGGCAGGAAGACUGGCCUGGCCACCAGCUUCGAGUGCAGAUGUGGUCACAACUUCUGUGCCACCCAUCGCUACGCAGAGACGCACGACUGCACGUUUGACUACAAGAGCGCGGGACGACGAUUCCUGCAAGAGACCAACCCUCUUAUCAGUGCUCCCAAGCUGCCUAAGAUCUAACACCCAACACCCAACAACCCUCACCUCUCAGAAGGGACGGCCUGAACCAACCACAGGUUAAUCUUGACUGAACAGUUGAGAUUCUGCUUUGUGACUUUUCUAGGAGGAAGAAGGAACUUAUUCACCACUGUGUGCUCUUUUUUUUAAUCUGCCAAGUUUGCUUAAAAUGAAAUAAGAUAUUCUGUAAAAGCCAAGUGUGAACAAAGAAGCGAAGACUGAAAUGGCACAGAGCUACUUAUCACCUCUUGACAAUGUGAAGAUGUUUAUUCUUUUUAUGUGUUACUUUUUCCUUUUCUUCGCCUGAAAACAAAACUCCCUGUGCAUGUAUGUAGGUAGGUUUCACUAAAUAUAUCUGCUGCACGUUCAGACAUUUCUACUUUUUAGUUUUGAUGGUUAUUUCUGUUUGUUUCAAAAGGACCGCUUAUGACUUUUCAUUGGACAAGUCUUUGACAGAUGCACUUUAGAAGUAUCAUAUUUAUACAUUUGACUUUCCUCCUUGUGGGGGAAGAAUUCUUAAAUCUCUGUGUUUGUCUUAUGAAGUGUUUCUGUUGUGUCAUGAUCUUUUAUAUUCUGCACCUCUAGAAGUCUUUCUUACUUGGGCACAUACAAACCGACAUCACUAAUGAAAUCUUUCCUUAAAGAACUUACGUAUUGAUAAAAUACUUCAUAUUUAUUAAUGAAUACUACUUAUUUAAAUUUAAGGGUGGUUUUGAAAUAGCAAGUAUGCAACGUGUGUAGGUAUGAAUGUCAGUUUUAAUGUGUAUCCUAUCAAGUUAAGUGUAUUAGGAUGUUGAGGGGGGGGUGUUAUGGUAUUUAUGAUGUGUCUCUUAAGUGAGGUGGUUGCCAUAAGAAUCUUUUGUAAGUCUUUUUUAUUGCUCAGCUGUUGCAAAAAAACUUUAAAUGCUGUUAUAGUAUCUUCAAGGGUUUGAUCUAAUAAAGUUUCUGAUCAUAUUGUACACCA
Molecule: RNA transcript, 3714 nt
Organism: Notolabrus celidotus (New Zealand spotty)
Lineage: Eukaryota; Metazoa; Chordata; Actinopteri; Labriformes; Labridae
Gene: zfand4
Gene name: zinc finger, AN1-type domain 4
Exons: 11
Source: RefSeq, a predicted model, not a curated record